GAUGAACGCUGGCGGCGUGCCUAACACAUGCAAGUCGAGCGAUUUACUUCGGUAAAGAGCGGCGGACGGGUGAGUAACGCGUGGGUAACCUGCCCUGUACACACGGAUAACAUACCGAAAGGUAUGCUAAUACGAGAUAAUAUGCUUUUAUCGCAUGGUAGAAGUAUCAAAGCUUUUGCGGUACAGGAUGGACCCGCGUCUGAUUAGCUAGUUGGUGAGGUAACGGCUCACCAAGGCGACGAUCAGUAGCCGACCUGAGAGGGUGAUCGGCCACAUUGGAACUGAGACACGGUCCAAACUCCUACGGGAGGCAGCAGUGGGGAAUAUUGCACAAUGGGCGAAAGCCUGAUGCGGCAACGCCGCGUGAGCGAUGAAGGCCUUCGGGUCGUAAAGCUCUGUCCUCAAGGAAGAUAAUGACGGUACUUGAGGAGGAAGCCCCGGCUAACUACGUG
RNAcentral lists this ribosomal RNA (452 nucleotides) under uncultured bacterium. RNAcentral's name for it is "partial 16S ribosomal RNA". It matches the Rfam family "Bacterial small subunit ribosomal RNA", at positions 28 to 507 of the family's 1533-position model. The record is from RNAcentral.